CAUUUCACUGAUGCCCCUAGGAGCCUACUUGCCCGGGGGGAGUCCAGGGCCCCUGUUCCUCAGCCCCAGAUGGCCCUCUCCGGUUUGUAUGAGGACAGGGCAGAACCCCAGCAGGUGAGCAGUGGGGGGACCCUUUGGGCAGGGUUUCUGGGGACAGGGACCCCUCAAUCUCGACAGCCCACCCAUCCAGACGGCUGCCUUCUGCGUGCUCCUCAGACACAGCCGCCCUGCCCUACGGUAACGGUAACGGGGGAGCUGCCCAGAAACCACAGAGCGUAAUCAUAGCUGCAGCGCCCUUGAAAAAUGGCUGAGAAGGGCCAGCUCAACUUGCAGGUGUAGGAGGAAACGCAGACUCUUGACCUCGGAAGGCCUGUUCCUGCUAGGUUCCCUGGCCUCCUGUCCAAGGUGUCACCGGCUCACCAUCCCGUGGCCCCACCUUGUUUGAUUUUGAUGGUACGUGUCACCCCUGAAAUGACGGUGCUUCUGGUGUUUACAGUUGAGUGUUGUCUCCUCGCAACGGAGAGGGGAUAACCGGACACAGACACGCGGAGAAGGCUGUGUGAAAUGGACGCAGGGUUCGGAGCAAUGCGUCCCUGAGUCGAGGAACACUGCAGCUUGCUGGAGCCACCAGAAGCUGGAAGAGGUAGGAAGGAUCCCCUCCUGGAGCUUUCAGACACAGCACGGAACUGCCGACUCAAAGUCCUGCUGAUUCUGGACUUCUGGCCUUCAGAACUGACAGAGAAUACGUUUCUGUUGUUUUGAGC
Molecule: long non-coding RNA, 764 nt
Organism: Leopardus geoffroyi (Geoffroy's cat)
Lineage: Eukaryota; Metazoa; Chordata; Mammalia; Carnivora; Felidae
Exons: 2
Source: RefSeq, a predicted model, not a curated record